RNAcentral lists this ribosomal RNA (477 nucleotides) under Salmonella enterica. Its description in RNAcentral is "bacterial SSU rRNA". It matches the Rfam family "Bacterial small subunit ribosomal RNA", at positions 1045 to 1522 of the family's 1533-position model. RNAcentral also lists the same sequence under 3 other names. Lineage: Bacteria; Pseudomonadati; Pseudomonadota; Gammaproteobacteria; Enterobacterales; Enterobacteriaceae. The record is from RNAcentral.
AUGGCUGUCGUCAGCUCGUGUUGUGAAAUGUUGGGUUAAGUCCCGCAACGAGCGCAACCCUUAUCCUUUGUUGCCAGCGAUUAGGUCGGGAACUCAAAGGAGACUGCCAGUGAUAAACUGGAGGAAGGUGGGGAUGACGUCAAGUCAUCAUGGCCCUUACGACCAGGGCUACACACGUGCUACAAUGGCGCAUACAAAGAGAAGCGACCUCGCGAGAGCAAGCGGACCUCAUAAAGUGCGUCGUAGUCCGGAUUGGAGUCUGCAACUCGACUCCAUGAAGUCGGAAUCGCUAGUAAUCGUGGAUCAGAAUGCCACGGUGAAUACGUUCCCGGGCCUUGUACACACCGCCCGUCACACCAUGGGAGUGGGUUGCAAAAGAAGUAGGUAGCUUAACCUUCGGGAGGGCGCUUACCACUUUGUGAUUCAUGACUGGGGUGAAGUCGUAACAAGGUAACCGUAGGGGAACCUGCGGUUGGA